Meriones unguiculatus (Mongolian gerbil) is the source of this 682-nucleotide long non-coding RNA. RefSeq lists it as uncharacterized. The transcript has 5 exons. The record is from RefSeq and is a predicted model, not a curated record. Lineage: Eukaryota; Metazoa; Chordata; Mammalia; Rodentia; Muridae.
UGCAGAUACAAUGCGACCAGCUGCCUUCUGCUCCUUCUGUAACACCUUUGCUCAGAUUGGAAGGCACAAGAACCCCUCCUCCCUUACAGUGCUUCUUGUCAGGUAUCUGGGACCAGCAACUAGGCAGUUUCAACUGCAAUGACUAACUAAUAAAGCUGAAUACAAUUCAAGGCUCAGGGACUGCCAGCAACGUGAGGAGAGAUACUGUGAGAGCUGGAACUCCUAGUUGAUGUCUUCACAGGGAGAGAACAUCACUUUCCUCGAUGGACCAACUGACGCCUAUGUGACCCCCCUCACCCACCCAAGAAGAAAACUGCUGGUGCUUUGUCACCCCAACACAUGCUCCUGGCCAGAGCUGGAUCCCCCCAAACUGUGGAGGUCAGCGUUUCACUGGACAGUGCAUCUAGGAGUGAGCAGAGCUGCUUUUUGGAAGGAACAUGAAGAAUGCUGUGGAACUGCAGAUACUCGGGAAGAAAAUAGCCACGUGGUCCAGCGUACUUACAGCAUCCCAGGAGUCACUCUCUCGCAAACUCCCUGGCUCAACCAACCACAGUACGGGUCACGUGAUGCAAUGCAAGACCUGUAGAAAGCCAAACACAUUAUGAUGCGGAUGUUCUCAUUAACACAGCUACGCCACUGCAAGAAGAGCUAGAAUGAACGAGGAAAGAAGAGCUUACUUUUU